AACGAACGCUGGCGGCAUGCCUAACACAUGCAAGUCGAACGAGACCUUCGGGUCUAGUGGCGCACGGGUGCGUAACGCGUGGGAACCUGCCCUCAGGUUCGGAAUAACUCCCCGAAAGGGGUGCUAAUACCGGAUAAUGUCUUCGGACCAAAGAUUUAUCGCCUUUGGAUGGGCCCGCGUUGGAUUAGCUAGUUGGUAGGGUAAAAGCCUACCAAGGCGACGAUCCAUAGCUGGUCUGAGAGGAUGAUCAGCCACACUGGGACUGAGACACGGCCCAGACUCCUACGGGAGGCAGCAGUGGGGAAUAUUGGACAAUGGGCGAAAGCCUGAUCCAGCAAUGCCGCGUGAGUGAUGAAGGCCUUAGGGUUGAAAAGCUCUUUUAACCGGGAUGAUAAUGACAGUACCGGGAGAAUAAGCUCCGGCUAACUCCGUG
This 433-nucleotide ribosomal RNA is filed under the name uncultured bacterium. RNAcentral's name for it is "partial 16S ribosomal RNA". It matches the Rfam family "Bacterial small subunit ribosomal RNA", at positions 29 to 507 of the family's 1533-position model. The record is from RNAcentral.